RNAcentral lists this ribosomal RNA (497 nucleotides) under uncultured bacterium. RNAcentral describes it as "partial 16S ribosomal RNA". It matches the Rfam family "Bacterial small subunit ribosomal RNA", at positions 29 to 507 of the family's 1533-position model. The record is from RNAcentral.
AGUGAACGCUGGCGGCAGGCCUAAUACAUGCAAGUCGAGCGACCGGACAAGAAGCUUGUGCUCUUACGGUUGGCGAGGGACGGGUGGGUAAGACGUGGAUAGCCAACUAAUAUUACGGGGGGAAUUACGGAAAGCCGCAGCUAAUACCACAUAACAUGUUCAACGGCAUGGUGCAACAGUUAAUGAGGGUCUUCCUGUCAGUUAUAGCUGAAUCCGGGCUGGAUUAGCUAGUUGGUAAGGUAACGGCCUACCAAGGCAACGAUGCGUAGCCGACCUGAGAGGGUGAUCGGCCACACUGGAACUGAGACACGGUCCAGACUCCUACGGGAGGCAGCAGUGGGGAAUCUUCCGCAAUGGGCGCAAGCCUGACCGAGCAACGCCGCGUGGGUGAAGAAGGCCUUCGGGUUGUAAAACCCUUUUGUUAGGGAAGAAAAAAAGCGGAAGUAAACAUCGCUGUUCUGACGGUACCCAAACAAUAAGCCCCGGCUAACUUCGUG